This 227-nucleotide unclassified non-coding RNA is filed under the name air metagenome. RNAcentral describes it as "partial contains small subunit ribosomal RNA, internal transcribed spacer 1, and 5.8S ribosomal RNA". The stretch from base 1 to 46 matches the Rfam family "Eukaryotic small subunit ribosomal RNA", at positions 1786 to 1831 of the family's 1831-position model. The record is from RNAcentral.
AAGUCGUAACAAGGUCUCCGUUGGUGAACCAGCGGAGGGAUCAUUACAGGACGUCAUACUCCCGUAAUACCACUGUGAAUCUUACCUACCGUCGUUGCCUCGGCGUGGCGCCCCCCGGGGAAACCCGCGGCGCCCGCCGGCGGCCCGCAAACUCUGUUUUAGAACUACGCAUCUCCGAGUAUUAUACAAACGAGUCAAAACUUUCAACAACGGAUCUCUUGGUUCUG